AUUGAACGCUGGCGGCAGGCUUAACACAUGCAAGUCGAGCGGGGGAAGGUAGCUUGCUACCGGACCUAGCGGCGGACGGGUGAGUAAUGCUUAGGAAUCUGCCUGUUAGUGGGGGACAACAUCUCGAACGGGAUGCUAAUACCGCAUACGUCCUACGGGGGAAAGCAGGGGAUCACUUGUGACCUUGCGCUAAUAGAUGAGCCUACGUCGGAUUAGCUAGUUGGUGGGGUAAAGGCCUACCAAGGCGACGAUCUGUAGCGGGUCUGAGAGGAUGAUCAGCCACACUGGGACUGAGACACGGCCCAGACUCCUACGGGAGGUAGCAGUGGGGAAUAUUGGACAAUGGGGGGAACCCUGAUCCAGCCAUGCCGCGUGUGUGAAGAAAGCCUUAUGGUUGUAAAGCACUUGAAGCGAGGAGGAGGCUCUUUUGGUUAAUACCCAAGAUGAGUGGACGUUACUCGCAGAAUAAGCACCGGCUAACUCUGUGCCAGCCGCCGCGGUAA
RNAcentral lists this ribosomal RNA (503 nucleotides) under uncultured bacterium. RNAcentral describes it as "partial 16S ribosomal RNA". It matches the Rfam family "Bacterial small subunit ribosomal RNA", at positions 30 to 523 of the family's 1533-position model. The record is from RNAcentral.